This 53-nucleotide non-coding RNA is filed under the name unclassified sequences. Its description in RNAcentral is "L31-Actinobacteria ribosomal protein leader". It matches the Rfam family "L31-Actinobacteria ribosomal protein leader". The record is from RNAcentral.
GCGGUACCGGUUCACGUUCUGCUGGCUCUGCCAGCUAGGGCGACCCGGCGACC